CACCAGCCCCUCGAGUGGUAGGGACUUUUAUUUGGCCUAAAGCGUUCGUAGCCGUCUGUAACCGUUGCCCGUUAAAUCCAGCGUCUCAAGCGUUGGACUGCGGGCGAUACCUUACAGAUUGAGGGUGGGAUAGGUAAGCGGUAUUUCUGGGGUAGGGGCGAAAUCCUUUGAUCCCAGGAGGACCACCAGUGGCGAAGGCUGCUUACUAGAACACGCCUGACGGUCAGGAACGAAAGCUGGGGUAGCGAACCGGAUUAGAUACCCGGGUAGUCCCAGCUGUAAACGAUGCGCGCUAGGUGUUGGGUCGGCCAUGCGCCGCCCCAGUGCCGCAGGGAAGCCGUUAAGCGCGCCGCCUGGGGAGUACGGCCGCAAGGCUG
RNAcentral lists this ribosomal RNA (377 nucleotides) under uncultured prokaryote. RNAcentral's name for it is "bacterial SSU rRNA". It matches the Rfam family "Archaeal small subunit ribosomal RNA", at positions 474 to 851 of the family's 1478-position model. The record is from RNAcentral.